GAUGAACGCUAGCGAUAGGCUUAACACAUGCAAGUCGAGGGGCAGCGAGGUGUAGCAAUACACCGUCGGCGACCGGCGAAUGGGUGCGUAACGCGUAUGCAACUUACCUUUUAGUGGGGGAUAACCCGGUGAAAGCCGGACUAAUACCGCAUAUGCUCCGAAUAUCACAUGAUUUAAGGAGGAAAGAUUUAUUGCUAAGAGAUAGGCAUGCGUUCCAUUAGUUAGUUGGUGAGGUAACGGCUCACCAAGGCAUCGAUGGAUAGGGGAGGCUGAGAGGCUUAUCCCCCACAUUGGGGCUGAGACACGGCCCAA
RNAcentral lists this ribosomal RNA (312 nucleotides) under uncultured bacterium. RNAcentral's name for it is "bacterial SSU rRNA". It matches the Rfam family "Bacterial small subunit ribosomal RNA", at positions 28 to 334 of the family's 1533-position model. The record is from RNAcentral.